GGCGGAGGGAGCCGAUUGGCUCUACCCUUAAAAAAGCUAUUUUGGACACCCCUUUCCCAGCAAAUGCCCCUUCAGUUGGAGGUGGGGAAGAAUUCAGAUUCAGCCUAAAAUUUCAGCUUAUGGCAGCGUUGUGGUGGAGAGCGAGCACAAACAAAGCCAUGCAGAUUUUACUGAUGGAGGCUGAGGAUGAGGAGGAGAGGGGCUCCCGUGAGCCGAAUGAAGCACCGUUCAACCCGCGGACCGACACUGAGGAGAGCAGACGCAAGGUGAGAUUUUACCAAACUGCAGAAAAAACGUUUCUCCUGCUUCAGGAUGUGAUGAGGAGCCAACAUUCAGCAUUCAGCUCACUUCCUCACACCGUACAGCAUUGGGGGGUUGGAGUGGGGUGGGGGGGUUGAAAACAGCAGAGAAAUGUUUACAGCAGAGGAAGGGUUUGGAAGAGAAGAGAAAUUCAAUUCAAAUCAAACUUUAUCUAUGGGAGACCUUUCCUAUGACGAAUAGAUGAAUAAAUAAGCAAACCUAAUAAACAAAUACAAAGAAAAAAAAA
Long non-coding RNA from Oryzias melastigma (Indian medaka), 547 nucleotides. RefSeq lists it as uncharacterized. The transcript is spliced from 2 exons. The record is from RefSeq and is a predicted model, not a curated record. NCBI's taxonomy places the organism in Eukaryota, Metazoa, Chordata, Actinopteri, Beloniformes, Adrianichthyidae.